GAUGAAGAACGUAGCGAAAUGCGAUAAGUAGUGUGUAUUGCAGAAUUCAGUGAAUCAUCGAAUCUUUGAACGCACAUUGCGCCCCUUGGUAUUCCAUGGGGCAUGCCUGUUCGAGCGUCAUUUGUACCUUCAAGCUUUGCUUGGUGUUGGGUGUUUGUCUCGCCUCUGCGUGUAGACUCGCCUCAAAACAAUUGGCAGCCGGCGUAUUGAUUUCGGAGCGCAGUACAUCUCGCGCUUUGCACUCAUAACGACGACGUCCAAAAGUACAUUUUUACACUCUUGACCUCGGAUCAGGUAGGGAUACCCGCUGAACUUAAGCAUAUCAUAAGCGGAGGA
RNAcentral lists this unclassified non-coding RNA (336 nucleotides) under soil metagenome. RNAcentral's name for it is "partial contains 5.8S ribosomal RNA, internal transcribed spacer 2, and large subunit ribosomal RNA". The stretch from base 1 to 120 matches the Rfam family "5.8S ribosomal RNA", at positions 35 to 154 of the family's 154-position model. The record is from RNAcentral.